Long non-coding RNA from Sarcophilus harrisii (Tasmanian devil), 464 nucleotides. RefSeq lists it as uncharacterized. The transcript is spliced from 3 exons. NCBI's taxonomy places the organism in Eukaryota, Metazoa, Chordata, Mammalia, Dasyuromorphia, Dasyuridae. The record is from RefSeq and is a predicted model, not a curated record.
GGCAGAUCACUUCAUAUCUUUAUCAGAAAAGCACAAAUGAGAUCAUAAAGAAUUGGACAUGACUGAAAUAACUGAGCAACAGCAAACCACUGCUUGAGAGCCUACUGAAUGCUGAAAGAUUCUGACAAUGUGUGAGUCAAUCUUAUCAUCUACAUGUACAUUGUUGGAAAGUGUGAUGCUAAGGGUUGGACAGGAUCAGUAUCUUGCAUAGUGAGGAGAAAAUGGGAUGUUUGGUAAUUCCAGUGGGACUGAAAGUAUCUCCUCUUCGCUGCUGGAUAUAUGAUGGAAAGCAGAAAGAAGUGCUGAUUAAGUACUAUAAAUAUGAAAGGUUUUCACUGUGAAUUCAUAAGUUAUCGACUACAUGCUGAGUAGUCUUGUCCUUUUAUAAGAAAGAUUUGGUUCUAAUCUCUUUGUACAACUGAAAAAAAAAAGGUUGAAGGUUAGAAGAAGUUUACAGAAUGACU